UACGGGGGGGCAAGCGUUGUUCGGAAUUACUGGGCGUAAAGGGCUCGUAGGCGGCCAACUAAGUCAGACGUGAAAUCCCUCGGCUUAACCGGGGAACUGCGUCUGAUACUGGAUGGCUUGAGGUUGGGAGAGGGAUGCGGAAUUCCAGGUGUAGCGGUGAAAUGCGUAGAUAUCUGGAGGAACACCGGUGGCGAAGGCGGCGAUCCUGGACCAAUUCUGACGCUGAGGAGCGAAAGCCAGGGGAGCAAACGGGG
This 254-nucleotide ribosomal RNA is filed under the name uncultured bacterium. RNAcentral's name for it is "partial 16S ribosomal RNA". It matches the Rfam family "Bacterial small subunit ribosomal RNA", at positions 524 to 777 of the family's 1533-position model. The record is from RNAcentral.